Molecule: ribosomal RNA, 266 nt
Filed under: uncultured bacterium
Lineage: Bacteria
Description: partial 16S ribosomal RNA
Rfam family: Bacterial small subunit ribosomal RNA
Source: RNAcentral
UGCCAGCCGCCGCGGUAAUACGGAGAUGGCAACCGUUGUUCGGAAUUACUGGGCUUAAAGCGCACGUAGGCGGAUAGAUAAGUUGAUUGUGAAAUCCCAUGGCUUACCCAUGGAACGGCAGUCAAAACUGUUUGUCUCGAGUGCGGAAUGUGACAUGUAGCGGUGAAAUGCAUAGAUAUGUCAUAGAACACCAAUUGCGAAGGCAGCUGACUAGUCCUCAUUUGACGCUGAGGCACGAAAGCGUGGGGAGCGAACAGGAUUAGAUA